CUUGUGAUGCUCUCAGUGUCCACUACUUUUAAUAUAUGUUUUUUUAACUUUAGGAAUGUCUAAAUUAAAUAUUGAGCCAUAUGAUGAAGAUCAAGGAACUGGAGAACUGAGAUAUGUGCAGGUGACUUGUAUUCAUGGAAAUAUUCUCUACUGUUCCUUGAUUAACUGUUGGCUAUCGUCAAUUCAAUAUUUUGUGAAGCUUAGCCUUUAACCCCUACCCCGUUCCUGGGAAAAAUAUAAUUAAAAACCAAAAAGUUUGUGAUGAAUGGUAAUUGAUGUGUUUCAUAUGUUAUUGACAAUGGUUAUAUGCAGAUGGCUGUGACUACAUACAACACGUCUCUACCUGCCUCUCAAAGAUACAAAAAUGGUUAGUAGCUUGGCUCAUAUUUCGUGGGGAAUGACAUUGAAAUUGUUGGACCUUAAAAGUUUCAACUCUUGGGCUUAUACUUUUGUUGAACAACCUCAGGCAAAGUGCAGGUUGCUUUGGUUUGGAACUCCAGAAAUGAAAACUCACCUAGUUCAGAAAAGUUAAAUGAUCUGGCCAGUGUAAGACCAUUGUGGACUUUUAACUGGCUUUCUUUGGUUUAAUGAAUCUCCUAUUGGCGAAGUAAUUGAUUCUGACUUUCAGUUCCUAUGGAGAAAUGGUGGGACAAAAGGGAAAGUCCAUUUAAUUCAUUCUGUCUGGGCUAACUUUCAGACAUCAACAAAUAAUGUAAGUACAACUCUCCCUCCUUCCCUCCCUCUCUCUCUCUCUCUCAUGUGCAGGGUGCAUUUUUUGCAUGUGUAUAAUUUGAGCAAGAUGCACAAAUGGUUAAAUAUAUGAAUAUGCAUAAAGAUUAAUGGUUAUUGGUUAAAUUCUCCUAGACAGAUUAAUGGUUUUAAUAGUUUUCUAAAGUGUCUAAUAUUAUAUACAGAUAUAUUGUACCUCUCUGAAGUACAUGCUUCAAUAGUUAUUGGUUAAAUUCUCCUAGACAAUUUUAUCUAUAUAUUCUCCUUUCUCUUGUUUUUUAGUUCUCAUGAGGACUAUAACAUGAAAAUAGUAGAGGCACAGAUGGUAGAAACAAUAAAGAAAUUAAAAAGUAAAAUUCUGUUCAAACUGAUUUGAUAAAAUCCUGCUGUCUGGGGGACAACGGGUCCAAAAAGCAAGAUGCUUCUCUUUCUCUUUCUGUGAGCAAUAAUUUUAAUAUCUUGGUGAUUUCUGUUUUGAUAAAUAAGGAGAAAAAAAGGCAGAUGGAGAAGCCAUUUAAUCAUAUGUAAUUAUCAUGAGAUUUAACUCAAAGAAAUUUGAGCUUUCAAAUUUGAUAAAGAAACCUCUGAAUCAAAAAUAACUAUUCUCUCAGUGACUUGUUUAUGAUAAAUCAUUCAAGAACUGGGCUAUUAUUCAUAAAUUUUUCUGUAGGAUUGCCUUAUGUAUUUUUCUGGCUGGUGUUGCAGAUUAUUUUUGGGAAUAGAUGGAGACAUCUUUUAGGUGAAAGAGACUUCUGGGAGCAUGUUGGAGGAAUUGAUGUUUCUCUGGCACCUUCAAGCUUUGGGCAAGCAAAUACACGGGUAGAAGUCUUGAUGAAAGAUACUUCAGUUAGUUAUUUGUUUGACGGAAUUUACUUCCAAUUAUCCCCACUUAUAUUCCAACUUUUGGUUGCUCUGUAUUAUUUGGGCACUUUUCAAGCAUUAGUGGCACAAAUAUGACUAACAGCACCUAGCAUACUGUCAAAAAACUUGUUUAGAUCACAACAUGAUAGUUGGUCUUUCUUAUCAGGCAUUUGAUUUUUUACUCCAUAAGUUACACAAGUGUGUUCCUUAUGGUGCAUCAGUUGUUGAUCUCUAUGCUGGAGCUGGUGUCAUUGGAUUAUCUUUGGCUGCCAUGAGGAAAUGCCGGUGAGAACAGGGAUGAUUUCAAGGUCCUUAAAUUUAAUUCAUGUUCUACCUGUCAAUAUGCAAGACACAAACCCUUUUAUAUAUUUCCACGUGUUUGUAGGUCAGUAAAAUGUGUUGAGGUUAAUAAAGAGUCAAAGGUUUCUUUUGAGAAGACAGUUGCUCGUUUAUCAGAAACCCUAGAUAGCAGCAUCAGCUGGCAUCAUGCAGACGCAUCAAAAGUUAGUGCUUCAUUUUUAUUCAUGCUUAUGUUGAUAUUUUACAUGUACAUAUCAUGAGUACUGACUAUCAUAUAUGUGCAUAUGUCCAAGUUCACUUAUGCAUGGGCAUAGAAAGUACACUCACAGAUGUCUAUUCCUUGACUACAUCUUUCUGGAAAUGCAUGCAUGCCCGUGUGAGCAUUAACACACACAGAUAUGAAGACAUCAGUUUCUUGCAUCGUCUAUCAAAUCUAAAUAUGAUCACAUGCACUUAUAUCGUAUUUUUAACUCUCUUUGCAAAGAUCUCCAAGUUUGUCUCUAAUCUAUUAUAUUUUCAGAUCUUGACAGUUUUCAUGCUGUAGUUUAGAAUAUGGCAUGAAUAAAAAGAGAAUUUUUCUUGGACUAUGUUCAUUGGAAUAGCAAAUAUUUAGUAAUACUUUUAUCCCCCAUCCUACCCCUCCAAAAAAAGCAUGGAAGGUUAAGGGAAAAGGGGGGUGGGGGGAUAGUAAAUGGAAACAUACCUUAUUUCUGCACUAAAGUUUUUGAUGCAAAACAUCUCCCAAUAGUAGUGGAGGCACUGAAAGAAGGCGCUUCCUUUCAUGCAGUCAGCUCAUGUCAAAUUCACUUGAUUUUGUGUCCGUGGUGCUGAUGCUGGAUCCUGAUGAAUAAAAAUGUAUUAUCUUCACAUGAAGUAAUAUGGGAUUUAGGAAUUAUUUGUCUGAAGUGGCAUGGGGGACUUGGUCUAUAGAUUCAAGAUUUGGUUCAGCAAUGAUUGAUCACUAGUGGAGUCUUUAUCUUCUGAAGACAUCCGUUUGAGAAAUAUCAACAAACUAGAAUCAUUUUAACCUUGGUACAGUGUGUGAAUUCUUUUGUAGUUGUCAUCUAUUUGUAACUUAUGCUGCCUUUGCAUUUCUUACUUGCACGCAUGACUGAAAUCAAUUAAGAAAUCCUGUGGAUAUACCUAGCAUUGAAGCUUGUUAUAGCCAUAUGAAAACUCUUGUUCUUUUCAAAACAUGGUCAGGAACCACUUUCUUGGCUCGUGGGUUCAGAUGUCGUAGUGGUUGAUCCUCCCCGGAAGGGGCUGGAUCUGUCUCUGCUGGAUACACUACGGUCUCUGUCAUCUUUGGAGCUCAAAGCCAAUCUUCCUGAAAGGUGUGGAACUUAGAUGGAUUCCUCACUUCUAAUUCUAAAUGUGCAAUCUCUAUUGGGUGGCAGAAACUAAAAAGUGAUAUGUUUGUGUGCUUACCCUUCAUUGGUUAUUCCAGUACCGGUGGGAAGGUAAAAAAUGAAAAAAGACCAUGGAUUCUGAGAGAGAGAGAAACUUCAGUGCAGGUUAAGAGCAGCACAGUACAAGAAGAAAGUCGGUCCUUGCCUGAAACUCUAAUUUAUAUAAGUUGUGGAUGGGAUAGUUUUAAAGAGGUGUGUUUACCCUUACUUCUCAUAGUUUAAAGAGCUGCUAAAUAAUAAAGAAAAAGUUUAAUCUUUAUUCAGUUGUUUGAUUUUUAGCUAGGCAAAAGUGUCACUGUCUGCUUGAGCUUCUAUUGCUGCCAUUUAACUUACAGGAUUGCAUGUCACUGCUCUCUUGUAAGGCCUGGUAUUUGGACAAAGCACAUGGCUUCAAUUUUUUCCCUGGAACACAAAGGUAUUCAUACCUCUCUCUCUCUCUCUCUCUCUCUCUCUCUCUCUCUCUCUCUCUCUCUAGCAUGUUAGAUAAGGAGGAUCGUAUAGAUUUGGACAAUACUAAAUAGGAAAAAGAAGCUAAAAAUCUUGUUCAUUAUAGUGUCCAAGCAUGUCCUGUACCAAAAAUGCACUUCAUGUGACCAAUGAAGCCAAGGCCUAGUUCAAGUAGCAAGACUGGAGCCUUCCCAGGUCAAUGGACUAGAUUCUAGCCUCCUUUUGUGGGGUGAAAUCCUUUAUCCCCCUUCUAAACCGGGGAGCCAAUAGAAGGUUUGAAUCGUCCCAUCUCCCAUGCCUUCUAGAAUUUGUGGGGUGCAAUCCUUUAUCCCCCUUCUUAAAAAAAAAAAAAAUGAGGAACUAAUAGAAGGUUUGAAUUGUCCCAUCUCCCAUGCCUCCUGAAACUUAUCCCUUAAUUUUAGUAGUUUGCCUUGUUUGUUGUACUUUUGAGUCAACCCUACCCAGUUGAGAAGAAGAGGGUCAGCCAAACUGCAAUCCACUUUGUACAUAUGCUGAGACCAAUCAAUCAUUUUAAAAUAGGAAAAGGAGCGGUGACCACUGAGGAUGGUCUAAUUAUUCAGUUUAUUGUGGGAUUGGGGUGCCUUGCGGGGUUUGCCACGAAGAGAAAGAUCCAUUCUCUGGGUUAUCUUACCAUGAGGAUUUUCUUUUCUGGAAAUAUGCUAUAUUCACAUGUUUGUGUUGCAUCAGCUAAUGACUCUGUUCUUUUAUUCAUUGGACUAAUUGUUUGGUUCCUAAUUUACCAAUCAAAUGCACUAUUAUUAAUGUAGCAUUGAGGUCCUGGCCGUGUUUAAAAGAGGCACUAAACCAAACAUCAAGAGAAGAAAAUCUGGAAAAAAGAAAAGGCCCUCUUGAGGUGCACUAUUUCAUCCUGUCGAGUAUUACGAGGGAUAAAAUGCUUCUCAUGAAAAGCCUAAAGAGAUGGUAUGGAGUAAAUGCACAACGAAAAGGAAGAAUAUCUAUUCAGUCACAUUUGAAUAGAAAGAAGUUCCAGACUGCAGUCUACACUGCCCUUAUGGAAAAAUAUUUUUUAUUUAGGCUGCUGGAUCUAACGAAAUAUAUAUACGAUAAACUGCACAUGUUUCAGAUAUUAUUUUGUAAUGAUGAACAUUUUAUGCACCCAUGGUUCCUUUUAUCCUUGUGAAAUUGGGACUAAGAGUAACAUUUUGUUAAAUUUAUUAAAAGCUUUUGCCAGAAGAAAAUGAACUUAUAGCACCUUAGCAAUUGAAUAGGAACAAUUUGCUGUUAUAUGAAGAUUUUUCCUUUCUAGUAUGUUUCUUCAAAGGUAUCCCAAGUUCUCUAAGUGAAAUAAUAAUUAAUAAGUAUAGUUUUUAUUU
This 5101-nucleotide long non-coding RNA is filed under the name Olea europaea subsp. europaea. Lineage: Eukaryota; Viridiplantae; Streptophyta; Magnoliopsida; Lamiales; Oleaceae. The record is from RNAcentral.